GCCCGGGUGGCGAAAUGGCAGACGCGCUGGUUUCAGGUACCAGUGGAGUUAAAUCCGUAUCGGUUCGAGUCCGAUCUCGGGCA
This 83-nucleotide transfer RNA is filed under the name Bacteroidales bacterium. RNAcentral's name for it is "tRNA-Leu". It matches the Rfam family "tRNA". Rfam says of the family: Transfer RNA (tRNA) molecules are approximately 80 nucleotides in length. Their secondary structure includes four short double-helical elements and three loops (D, anti-codon, and T loops). The record is from RNAcentral. RNAcentral also lists the same sequence under 1 other name. Lineage: Bacteria; Pseudomonadati; Bacteroidota; Bacteroidia; Bacteroidales.